This 506-nucleotide ribosomal RNA is filed under the name uncultured bacterium. RNAcentral's name for it is "partial 16S ribosomal RNA". It matches the Rfam family "Bacterial small subunit ribosomal RNA", at positions 29 to 523 of the family's 1533-position model. The record is from RNAcentral.
AGUGAACGCUGGCGGUAGGCCUAACACAUGCAAGUCGAACGGCAGCACAGAGGAGCUUGCUCCUUGGGUGGCGAGUGGCGGACGGGUGAGGAAUACAUCGGAAUCUACUCUGUCGAGGGGGAUAACGUAGGGAAACUUACGCUAAUACCGCAUACGACCUACGGGUGAAAGCAGGGGACCUUCGGGCCUUGCGCGAUUGAAUGAGCCGAUGUCGGAUUAGCUAGGUGGGGGGGUAAAGGCCCACCAAGGCGACGAUCCGUAGCUGGUCUGAGAGGAUGAUCCGCCACAAUGGAACUGGGACACGGGCCAGAUUCCUACGGGAGGGAGCAGUGGGGAAUGUUGGACAAUGGGCGCAAGCCUGAUCCAGCCAUACCGCGUGGGUGAAGAAGGCCGUCGGGUUGUAAAGCCCUUUUGUUGGGAAAGAAAUCCAGCUGGCUAAUACCCGGUUGGGAUGACGGUACCCAAAGAAUAAGCACCGGCUAACUUCGUGCCAGCCGCCGCAGUAA